This is a long non-coding RNA of Quercus robur (English oak), 1558 nucleotides long. RefSeq lists it as uncharacterized. The record is from RefSeq and is a predicted model, not a curated record. Lineage: Eukaryota; Viridiplantae; Streptophyta; Magnoliopsida; Fagales; Fagaceae. The transcript is spliced from 4 exons.
CUCUCUCUCUCUCUCUCUCUCUCUCUCUCUCUCUCUACCCAUCCCACUGCUGACAAGCUCCAACCUCGAUGCUGCCGACCUCCACCCUCCAUGCCGCCAACCUUCACUCUCCACGCCAUGGCUUCCCUUCUUCCUUUCCCAGCCAUUCCCUUCCUCUUCCCUUUCGCCCAUCUCCAGCCCUACAUUUUGGGUACCCCUUUCCCCACCACCAUGGCCAUGGCCACUUCUCCUUAACCCACUUCACCUCCUCCUUUCUUCUUCCUUAAUCAAAUCCCAUCCUUUCUCUUCCAAAAUUUCAAACCCAAAAAUACUACCCAAAACCCUAGCCCCUACCCAAAGCAAGGAGGUGGUGGGCCAAUUAUGGGUGAUUUAUGGGGCUUGAAGGGUCUUAUUGAAGAAGGAAGAGAAUGAAACACCUGGAUGGACGCAUUUGAAGCUUCCAGGUCAAGCUCCUUCUCCUCAUUGUGGUCAUACUGUGACCUCCGAAGGGCACUAUGUAAUGACAUCUUCAGCAGCCUUUAUAUUCUUCUUGUUGAUUUCUGUUCAUGUGCUGUUGUGUCGAUGCUGAAACUUUUUUCCUUAUAAUUCCUUAAAUGUUACUGCUAAAAUUUUUUCUUUGCAGCUGUUGUUAUUUGGAGGUCAUGGGAUUGUUGGUUGGUUGAGUCGUUAUGACAUGUUUUACAAUGACAGCAUUGUUUUAGAUUGAGGUGAGUGCUUUACAACUUUGCUAGUUGGAUUCCUAGCAGAUAUGUGCUGGAUUUGUCAUCAUGAUAUUAAUGUACCUUCUAUAUUGUUUAUGCUAUAGAUAUUCUGACUAUUAUUACCUGAAUGAAGUUGUUUGAUUUUAAUUUUUAAACAGUUUUCUUCGAAGUGUGACAUUUACAUGUGAAAUUGCAUUAUCCUGGCAACCCAAAGAGCGGCACAAAAUAUUUUAAGUGUUAUAUAGAAAGUACAAGGAGGUCCUUGUUGAUUUACUUAUCCUGGCAAAUUAAAUUAUCAUUGUUGAUUAUAAAUAAACGGGAACUAUACAUAUUAUCUACAAUUCUUAAAUGUUAUUUUACUUAAUUGUGACUAUUAGGCAAGGAUGAAAGAACUUUUGGUGGUUCUUGGAACACUGUUGCAGGGUGAGACUGGUGAGGGAGGUACCCUAUGUAUAGUUGAUGAUGCAGAAAAUUUAUUAUAACAUUCUAGACGUUUGGAUAGUAAUUUUUUGGGUAUAAAAUUUUAGACAUUUGGAAUGUAUUCUUUUGAUAUUGUAACUUUAAGUUGGUAAUGUAUAUUAAUAUGUUGUACUUAAAAUCCACUGCAAUAGACCAAAGGGUUAAGAAGAUGACAACUCAAAUAGCUGAUUUGGAGGAGAAAUGCCAUGGUUUUGAAGCCUUGAAAGUUGAAGUGAGUUUGAUGAAGAAAAUGUUUUCUCAAAUGAGUCCACUAUUUACUUUCACUCAGGAUGGUGAUGAUGAUGUAGUGGAUGUCCAUUCUCCAUGUGAUGUGGAUUUAUCAUCCUGUGACAGACAUUAGGAAACAUGCAGAUUGUGGGUUUUAUCUUGUACUAGCU